GUUCAAGUAAGCAAGUAGCGGUGUUCACGAGCGUAUUUGUAGAAGCAAUACUUUGGAGAACUACACGACAAGAUGUCUACUACAAAGAAGCAUCGAGCCAUGGGGUCUGAGGAGUGGGUGGCGCGCCUGAAUGCAUUUGCCUGUUCUGGCACUUGGCCCUCCGGUGCAGGGAACAGGCCAUCUCCCAAACAGGGCAAGUGGCACAACCUCUACCAGAAGAUUGAGAAGUGUCCCAUGAUGCUGCGUGGGCAGACCUCAAUCUUGAGGGUAGCGCAGACAUGUUCCUGUGGCUUUCACCCUCGGCAGUCUGUGAGUAGUCCUGCAGCAUCCAGGCCAGCUACCUCAGCCUCCACUUCAGCUGCCUCAGCCUCCACCUCAGCGGCGCCUGUACAGAGCCCUGGGAGGCCUGCAUUGACGCUGUCAAUGUUUGAUAAAGCGCGGUUCGGUGGGACUUUGUCUGCGGCAGCCAGGCCUAAUGUCAACGUGACCAGGAAGCAUGUCGAGGUAAUACAUGUACCUUUAGCUGUGCCUGAUGCCUAAGAAUACAGCCAUUAAGCCAUAC
Long non-coding RNA from Gadus morhua (Atlantic cod), 562 nucleotides. Lineage: Eukaryota; Metazoa; Chordata; Actinopteri; Gadiformes; Gadidae. The record is from Ensembl.